RNAcentral lists this ribosomal RNA (254 nucleotides) under uncultured bacterium. Its description in RNAcentral is "partial 16S ribosomal RNA". It matches the Rfam family "Bacterial small subunit ribosomal RNA", at positions 524 to 776 of the family's 1533-position model. The record is from RNAcentral.
UACGUAGGGGCCAAGCGUUGUCCGGAUUUAUUGGGCGUAAAGAGCUCGUAGGCGGUUCGACAAGUCGGGUGUGAAAACUCCGGGCUCAACCCGGAGACGCCACCCGAUACUGUCGUGACUGGAGUCCGGUAGGGGAGUGGGGAAUUCCUGGUGUAGCGGUGAAAUGCGCAGAUAUCAGGAGGAACACCGGUGGCGAAGGCGCCACUCUGGGCCGGUACUGACGCUGAGGAGCGAAAGCGUGGGGAGCAAACAGG